This 498-nucleotide ribosomal RNA is filed under the name uncultured bacterium. RNAcentral's name for it is "partial 16S ribosomal RNA". It matches the Rfam family "Bacterial small subunit ribosomal RNA", at positions 30 to 523 of the family's 1533-position model. The record is from RNAcentral.
AUUGAACGCUGGCGGCAUGCCUUACACAUGCAAGUCGAACGGUAACAGGUCUUCGGAUGCUGACGAGUGGCGAACGGGUGAGUAAUACAUCGGAACGUGCCUAGUAGUGGGGGAUAACUACUCGAAAGAGUGGCUAAUACCGCAUGAGAUCUACGGAUGAAAGCAGGGGAUCGCAAGACCUUGUGCUACUAGAGCGGCCGAUGGCAGAUUAGGUAGUUGGUGGGAUAAAAGCUUACCAAGCCGACGAUCUGUAGCUGGUCUGAGAGGACGAUCAGCCACACUGGGACUGAGAGACGGCCCAGACCCCUACGGGAGGCAGCAGUGGCGAAUUGUGGACAAUGGGCGAAAGCCUGCUCCAGCAAUGCCGCGUGCAGGAUGAAGGCCUUCGGGUUGUAAACUGCUUUUGUACGGAACGAAAAGCCCCGGGUUAAUACCCUGGGGUCAUGACGGUACCGUAAGAAUAAGCACCGGCUAACUACGUGCCAGCCGCCGCCGUAA